UAACAAGGUCUCCGUUGGUGAACCAGCGGAGGGAUCAUUACCGAGUUUACAACUCCCAAACCCCUGUGAACAUACCACUUGUUGCCUCGGCGGAUCAGCCCGCUCCCGGUAAAACGGGACGGCCCGCCAGAGGACCCCUAAACUCUGUUUCUAUAUGUAACUUCUGAGUAAAACCAUAAAUAAAUCAAAACUUUCAACAACGGAUCUCUUGGUUCUGGCAUCGAUGAAGAACGCAGCAAAAUGCGAUAAGUAAUGUGAAUUGCAGAAUUCAGUGAAUCAUCGAAUCUUUGAACGCACAUUGCGCCCGCCAGUAUUCUGGCGGGCAUGCCUGUUCGAGCGUCAUUUCAACCCUCAAGCACAGCUUGGUGUUGGGACUCGCGUUAAUUCGCGUUCCUCAAAUUGAUUGGCGGUCACGUCGAGCUUCCAUAGCGUAGUAGUAAAACCCUCGUUACUGGUAAUCGUCGCGGCCACGCCGUUAAACCCCAACUUCUGAAUGUGACCUCGAUCAG
This 509-nucleotide ribosomal RNA is filed under the name Fusarium oxysporum. Its description in RNAcentral is "eukaryotic LSU rRNA". The stretch from base 189 to 342 matches the Rfam family "5.8S ribosomal RNA". Lineage: Eukaryota; Fungi; Ascomycota; Sordariomycetes; Hypocreales; Nectriaceae. The record is from RNAcentral.